CCUACGGGUGGCAGCAGUGAGGAAUAUUGGUCAAUGGGCGAGAGCCUGAACCAGCCAAGCCGCGUGAAGGAUGACGGCCCUAUGGGUUGUAAACUUCUUUUAUAGGGGAAUAAAGCUCGGUACGUGUACCGUCUUGCAUGUAUCCUAUGAAUAAGGAUCGGCUAACUCCGUGCCAGCAGCCGCGGUAAUCCGGAGGGUCCGAGCGUUAUCCGGAUUUACUGGGUUUAAAGGGAGCGUAGGCGGACGCAUUAGUCAGGUGUGAAAGUUUGGGGCGCAACCGUGGACUUGCAGUGGAAACUGGGUGGCGAGAGUGCGGGAGAGGUAGGCGGAAUGCGUGGUGUAGCGGUGAAAUGCGUAGAUAUCACGAAGAACUCCGAUUGCGAAGGCAGCUUACUGGACUGUAACUGACGCUGAGGCUCGAAAGCGUGGGGAUCAAACAGGAUUAGAUACCCGAGUAGUC
Molecule: ribosomal RNA, 460 nt
Filed under: uncultured bacterium
Lineage: Bacteria
Description: partial 16S ribosomal RNA
Rfam family: Bacterial small subunit ribosomal RNA
Source: RNAcentral